UACGUAGGGGGCAAGCGUUGUCCGGAUUUAUUGGGCGUAAAGGGCGCGUAGGCGGCCUGCUAAGUCGAACGUGAAAUCCCCGGGCUCAACCCGGGAACUGCGUCCGAUACUGGCAGGCUUGAAUUCGGGAGAGGGAUGCGGAAUUCCAGGUGUAGCGGUGAAAUGCGCAGAUAUCAGGAGGAACACCGGUGGCGAAGGCGAGUCCCUGGACAACUCCUGACACUGAGGCACGAAAGCUAGGGGAGCAAACAGG
This 253-nucleotide ribosomal RNA is filed under the name uncultured bacterium. RNAcentral describes it as "partial 16S ribosomal RNA". It matches the Rfam family "Bacterial small subunit ribosomal RNA", at positions 524 to 776 of the family's 1533-position model. The record is from RNAcentral.